AACGAACGCUGGCGGCGCGCCUAAUACAUGCAAGUCGAGCGAGAAGACGUAGCAAUACGUUUGUAAAGCGGCGAACGGGUGAGGAAUACAUGGGUAACCUACCCUCGAGUGGGGAAUAACUAGCCGAAAGGUUAGCUAAUACCGCGUACGCUCCUUGGACUUCGGUUCAGGGAGGAAAGCGAUACCGUGGGUAUCGCGCUCUUGGAUGGGCUCAUGUCCUAUCAGCUUGUUGGUGAGGAACGGCUCACCAAGGCUUCGACGGGUAGCUGGUCUGAGAGGACGAUCAGCCACACUGGCACUGCGACACGGGCCAGACUCCUACGGGAGGCAGCAGUAAGGAAUAUUGCGCAAUGGGCGAAAGCCUGACGCAGCGACGCCGCGUGGGGGAUGAAGGUCUCGGAUUGUAAACCCCUUUCGGGAGGGAAGAUGGAACGAGCAAUCGUUCGGACGGUACCUCCAGAAGCAGCCACGGCUAACUUCGUGCCAGCAGCCGCGGUAAC
This 500-nucleotide ribosomal RNA is filed under the name uncultured bacterium. RNAcentral's name for it is "bacterial SSU rRNA". It matches the Rfam family "Bacterial small subunit ribosomal RNA", at positions 29 to 524 of the family's 1533-position model. The record is from RNAcentral.